CCUACGGGAGGCAGCAGUGAGGAAUAUUGGUCAAUGGGCGCGAGUCUGAACCAGCCAAGUAGCGUGAAGGAUGACUGCCCUACGGGUUGUAAACUUCUUUUAUAAAGGAAUAAAGUGAGGCACGUGUGCCUUUUUGUAUGUACUUUAUGAAUAAGGAUCGGCUAACUCCGUGCCAGCAGCCGCGGUAAUACGGAGGAUCCGAGCGUUAUCCGGAUUUAUUGGGUUUAAAGGGAGCGUAGAGGGGUUGUUAAGUCAGUUGUGAAAGUUUGGGGCUCAACCGUAAAAUUGCAAUGGACACUGGAAGCAUUGAGUACAGUUAAGGUAGGCGGAAUUCGUGGUGUAGCGGUGAAAUGCUUAGAUAUCACGAAGAACCCCGAUUGCGAAGGCAGCCUACUAAACUGCCACUGACGUUGAUGCUCGAAAGUGUGGGUAUCAAACAGGAUUAGAUACCCCAGUAGUC
This 460-nucleotide ribosomal RNA is filed under the name uncultured bacterium. RNAcentral's name for it is "partial 16S ribosomal RNA". It matches the Rfam family "Bacterial small subunit ribosomal RNA", at positions 338 to 795 of the family's 1533-position model. The record is from RNAcentral.